This 433-nucleotide ribosomal RNA is filed under the name uncultured bacterium. RNAcentral describes it as "partial 16S ribosomal RNA". It matches the Rfam family "Bacterial small subunit ribosomal RNA", at positions 29 to 507 of the family's 1533-position model. The record is from RNAcentral.
AACGAACGCUGGCGGCAUGCCUAACACAUGCAAGUCGAACGAGACCUUCGGGUCUAGUGGCGCACGGGUGCGUAACGCGUGGGAACCUGCCCUUAGGUUCGGAAUAACUCCCCGAAAGGGGUACUAAUACCGGAUAAUGUCUUCGGACCAAAGAUUUAUCGCCUUUGGAUGGGCCCGCGUUGGAUUAGCUAGUUGGUAGGGUAAAAGCCUACCAAGGCGACGAUCCAUAGCUGGUCUGAGAGGAUGAUCAGCCACACUGGGACUAAGACACGGCCCAGACUCCUACGCGAGGCAGCAGUGGGGAAUAUUGGACAAUGGGCGAAAGCCUGAUCCAGCAAUGCCGCGUGAGUGAUGAAGGCCUUAGGGUUGUAAAGCUCUUUUACCCGGGAUGAUAAUGACAGUACCGGGAGAAUAAGCUCCGGCUAACUCCGUG